RNAcentral lists this ribosomal RNA (497 nucleotides) under uncultured bacterium. Its description in RNAcentral is "partial 16S ribosomal RNA". It matches the Rfam family "Bacterial small subunit ribosomal RNA", at positions 28 to 507 of the family's 1533-position model. The record is from RNAcentral.
GACGAACGCUGGCGGCGUGCCUAAUACAUGCAAGUCGAACGCUGAAGCGAGGAGCUUGCUCUUCUUGGAUGAGUUGCGGACGGGUGAGUAACGCGUAGGUAACCUGCCUUGUAUCGGGGGAGAACUAUUGGAAACGAUAGCUAAUACCGCAUAACAAUGGCUGCCACAUGUAAUUUAUUUGAAUCGGGCAUUUCCUGCACUACAAGAUGGAUCUGCGUUUUAUUAGGUAGUAGGUGAGGUAACGGCUCACCUAGGCGGCGGUACAUAGCCGACCUGAAAGGGUGGUCGGCCCCAAUGGGACUGGGACACGGCCCCGACUCCCUAGGGGAGGAGCAGUAGGGGAACUUCGGCAAAGGGGGCAAACCUGACCGCAGACCGCCGCGGGAGUGGAGAAAGGUUUCGGGUCGUAAAGCUCCGUUGUAAGUGAAGAAAGAGCGUGAGGGUGGAACGUUCACGCUGUGACGGUAGCUAACCAGAAAGCAACGGCUAACUACGUG